GUGCCAGCCGCCGCGGUAAUACGGAGGGUGCGAGCGUUAAUCGGAAUUACUGGGCGUAAAGGGCGCGUAGGCGGUGAAGUAAGUCGGGUGUGAAAGCCCCGGGCUCAACCUGGGAACUGCAUUCGAUACUGCUUCGCUAGAGUAUGGUAGAGGGAAGCGGAAUUCCGGGUGUAGCGGUGAAAUGCGUAGAUAUCCGGAGGAACACCAGUGGCGAAGGCGGCUUCCUGGACCAAUACUGACGCUGAGGCGCGAAAGCGUGGGGAUCAAACAGGAUUAGAAACCCCCGUAGUCC
This 292-nucleotide ribosomal RNA is filed under the name uncultured bacterium. RNAcentral's name for it is "partial 16S ribosomal RNA". It matches the Rfam family "Bacterial small subunit ribosomal RNA", at positions 505 to 796 of the family's 1533-position model. The record is from RNAcentral.